GUCGAGCGAUGAAGCACCUUCGGGUGUGAAUUAGCGGCGAACGGGUGAGGAACACGUGAAGAAUCUGCCUUCAACUCUGGGAUAACUCCGGGAAACCGGGGCUAAUACCGGAUAUGAGCCUUGAUCGCAUGAUCGGGGCUGGAAAGUUUUUCGGUUGAAGAUGACUUCGCGGCCUAUCAGCUUGUUGGUGAGGUAAUGGCUCACCAAGGCGACGACGGGUAGCCGGCCUGAGAGGGCGACCGGCCACACUGGGACUGAGACACGGCCCAGACUCCUACGGGAGGCAGCAGUGGGGAAUAUUGGGCAAUGGAGGAAACUCUGACCCAGCGACGCCGCGUGAGGGAUGAAGGCCUUCGGGUUGUAAACCUCUUUCAGUAGGGAAGAAGCGAAAGUGACGGUACCUACAGAAGAAGCACCGGCUAACUAUGUGCCAGCAGCCGCGGUAAUACAUAGGGUGCAAGCGUUGUCCGGAAUUAUUGGGCGUAAAGAGCUCGUAGGUGGUUCGAUACGUCGGAUGUGAAAAUCAGGGGCUCAACCCCUGACCUGCAUCCGAUACGGUCGAGCUAGAGUUUGGUAGGGGAGACUGGAAUUCCUGGUGUAGCGGUGGAAUGCGCAGAUAUCAGGAGGAACACCGAUGGCGAAGGCAGGUCUCUGGGCCAAUACUGACACUGAGGAGCGAAAGCGUGGGGAGCGAACAGGAUUAGAUACCCUGGUAGUCCACGCCGUAAACGGUGGGCGCUAGUUGUGCGAACCUUCCACGGUUUGUGCGACGCAGCUAACGCAUUAAGCGCCCCGCCUGGGGAGUACGAUCGCAAGAUUAAAAAUCAAAUGAAUU
Molecule: ribosomal RNA, 835 nt
Filed under: uncultured Actinomycetales bacterium
Lineage: Bacteria; Bacillati; Actinomycetota; Actinomycetes; Actinomycetales
Description: bacterial SSU rRNA
Rfam family: Bacterial small subunit ribosomal RNA
Source: RNAcentral